UACGUAGGCAGCGAGCGUUGUUCGGAAUUACUGGGCGUAAAGCGCACGCAGGCGUCUCUUAAGUUUGGAGUGACAGUUGGUGGCUUAACUGCCAAAGUGCUUCGAAAACUGAGAGACUUGAGGGCUUCAGAGGGACACGGAAUUCCGGGUGGAGUGGUGAAAUGCGUAGAGAUCCGGAGGAACACCAAAGGCGAAGGCAGUGUCCUGGGGAGUACCUGACGCUCAGGUGCGAAAGCCAGGGGAGGCG
RNAcentral lists this ribosomal RNA (247 nucleotides) under uncultured bacterium. RNAcentral describes it as "partial 16S ribosomal RNA". It matches the Rfam family "Bacterial small subunit ribosomal RNA", at positions 524 to 771 of the family's 1533-position model. The record is from RNAcentral.